UACCUGAUCAGCGGCGGCACCGGCUAC
Molecule: non-coding RNA, 27 nt
Filed under: Homo sapiens (human)
Lineage: Eukaryota; Metazoa; Chordata; Mammalia; Primates; Hominidae
Source: RNAcentral